AUGGGUGCCCCGACGUUGCCCCCUGCCUGGCAGCCCUUUCUCAAGGACCACCGCAUCUCUACAUUCAAGAACUGGCCCUUCUUGGAGGGCUGCGCCUGCACCCCGGAGCGGAUGGCCGAGGCUGGCUUCAUCCACUGCCCCACUGAGAACGAGCCAGACUUGGCCCAGUGUUUCUUCUGCUUCAAGGAGCUGGAAGGCUGGGAGCCAGAUGACGACCCCAUGGUCUUACUCUGUCACCCAGGCUGAGUGCAGUGGUGUGAUCUUGGCUCACCUCAGCCUCGACCCCCUGGGCUCAAAUGAUUCUCCCACCUCAGCUUCCCAAGUAGCUGGGACCACAGGAGAGAGCUCUGUUAGCAGAAUGAAAAAAUUGGAAGCCAGAUUCAGGGAGGGACUGGAAGCAAAAGAAUUUCUGUUCGAGGAAGAGCCUGAUGUUUGCCAGGGUCUGUUUAACUGGACAUGAAGAGGAAGGCUCUGGACUUUCCUCCAGGAGUUUCAGGAGAAAGGCAAAGGAAACCAACAAUAAGAAGAAAGAAUUUGAGGAAACUGCGGAGAAAGUGCGCCGUGCCAUCGAGCAGCUGGCUGCCAUGGAUUGAGGCCUCUGGCCGGAGCUGCCUGGUCCCAGAGUGGCUGCACCACUUCCAGGGUUUAUUCCCUGGUGCCACCAGCCUUCCUGUGGGCCCCUUAGCAAUGUCUUAGGAAAGGAGAUCAACAUUUUCAAAUUAGAUGUUUCAACUGUGCUCUUGUUUUGUCUUGAAAGUGGCACCAGAGGUGCUUCUGCCUGUGCAGCGGGUGCUGCUGGUAACAGUGGC
Molecule: unclassified non-coding RNA, 809 nt
Filed under: Homo sapiens (human)
Lineage: Eukaryota; Metazoa; Chordata; Mammalia; Primates; Hominidae
Description: partial baculoviral IAP repeat containing 5 transcript variant 17
Source: RNAcentral